GUACUACUGGAUAUCUGACUGGAGCCA
RNAcentral lists this non-coding RNA (27 nucleotides) under Callithrix jacchus (white-tufted-ear marmoset). The record is from RNAcentral. RNAcentral also lists the same sequence under 1 other name. Lineage: Eukaryota; Metazoa; Chordata; Mammalia; Primates; Cebidae.